GAAACGAUCCUAGCUUGCUAGGAGGCGUCGAGCGGCGGACGGGUGAGUAAUGCAUAGGAAUCUACCCAGUCGUGGGGGAUAACCUGAGGAAACUCAGGCUAAUACCGCAUACGUCCUACGGGAGAAAGCGGGGGCUCUUCGGACCUCGCGCGAUUGGAUGAGCCUAUGUCGGAUUAGCUUGUUGGUAAGGUAACGGCUUACCAAGGCGACGAUCCGUAGCUGGUCUGAGAGGUGAUCAGCCACACCGGGACUGAGACACGGCCCGGACUCCUACGGGAGGCAGCAGUGGGGAAUAUUGGACAAUGGGCGAAAGCCUGAUCCAGCCAUGCCGCGUGUGUGAAGAAGGCUUUCGGGUUGUAAAGCACUUUCAGCGAGGAAGAAACGCGUGCCGGCCAAUACCCGGUACGGACGACAUCACUCGCAGAAGAAGCACCGGCUAACUCCGUGCCAGCAGCCGCGGUAAUACGGAGGGUGCAAGCGUUAAUCGGAAUUACUGGGCGUAAAGCGCGCGUAGGCGGCGUGUCACGCCGGGUGUGAAAGCCCCGGGCUCAACCUGGGAACGGCAUCCGGAACGGGCAGGCUAGAGUGCAGGAGAGGAAGGUAGAAUUCCCGGUGUAGCGGUGAAAUGCGUAGAGAUCGGGAGGAAUACCAGUGGCGAAGGCGGCCUUCUGGACUGACACUGACGCUGAGGUGCGAAAGCGUGGGUAGCAAACAGGAUUAGAUACCCUGGUAGUCCACGCCGUAAACGAUGUCGACUAGCCGUUGGGUCCCUUGAGGACUUAGUGGCGCAGUUAACGCGAUAAGUCGACCGCCUGGGGAGUACGGCCGCAAGGUUAAAACUCAAAUGAAUUGACGGGGGCCCGCACAAGCGGUGGAGCAUGUGGUUUAAUUCGAUGCAACGCGAAGAACCUUACCUACCCUUGACAUCCUGCGAACCCGGAAGAGAUUCCGGGGUGCCUUCGGGAGCGCAGAGACAGGUGCUGCAUGGCUGUCGUCAGCUCGUGUUGUGAAAUGUUGGGUUAAGUCCCGUAACGAGCGCAACCCUUGUCCCUAUUUGCCAGCGAUUCGGUCGGGAACUCUAGGGAGACUGCCGGUGACAAACCGGAGGAAGGUGGGGACGACGUCAAGUCAUCAUGGCCCUUACGGGUAGGGCUACACACGUGCUACAAUGGCCGGUACAAAGGGUUGCGAAAGCGCGAGCUGAAGCUAAUCCCGAAAAGCCGGUCUCAGUCCGGAUCGGAGUCUGCAACUCGACUCCGCGAAGUCGGAAUCGCUAGUAAUCGUGCAUCAGAAUGGCACGGUGAAUACGUUCCCGGGCCUUGUACACACCGCCCGUCACACCAUGGAAGUGGACUGCACCAGAAGUGGUUAGCUUAACCCUCGGGAGAGCGAUCAGCCA
Molecule: ribosomal RNA, 1399 nt
Filed under: Chromohalobacter sp. Mcap_H236
Lineage: Bacteria; Pseudomonadati; Pseudomonadota; Gammaproteobacteria; Oceanospirillales; Halomonadaceae
Description: bacterial SSU rRNA
Rfam family: Bacterial small subunit ribosomal RNA
Source: RNAcentral